Molecule: ribosomal RNA, 488 nt
Filed under: uncultured bacterium
Lineage: Bacteria
Description: bacterial SSU rRNA
Rfam family: Bacterial small subunit ribosomal RNA
Source: RNAcentral
GACGAACGCUGGCGGCGUGCCUAACACAUGCAAGUCGAGCGGAGAUACAUUGAAGAGCAAUCAGAUAUGUAUCUUAGCGGCGGACGGGUGAGUAACGCGUGGGCAACCUGCCUCAUACUGGGGGAUAACACAGGGAAACUUGUGCUAAUACCGCAUAAUAUCAUUAUAGGGCAUCCUGUGAUGAUCAAAGGAGCAAUCCGGUGUGAGAUGGGCCCGCGUCCAAUUAGCUAGUUGGUGGGGUAACGGCCCACCAAGGCGACGAUUGGUAGCCGAACUGAGAGGUUGAUCGGCCACAUUGGGACUGAGACACGGCCCAGACUCCUACGGGAGGCAGCAGUGGGGAAUAUUGCGCAAUGGGGGAAACCCUGACGGAGCAACGCCGCGUGGGUGAAGAAGGCCUCGGUUGUAAGCCUGUCUUAUGGGACGAGGAGGAGACGGUACCGAUAGGAGGAAGGCCACGGCUAACUACGUGCCAGCAGCCGCGGUAA